CUCACACAGGUGCUCAAGAGAGGGGCCUUAAAGGCAGGUGUUCCAGGAACAGAAAGGAAGAGGCAGAUCCUUGCCUGGAAAGUACUGGACCCAGUGCCCUAUGUCUAUUCAGCAGCCACAAGAUGGAUACACUGCAAUUGGGUAAGACAGAAAAUGCAUGGCAACUGGCAGUAGGAAUUUUGGAAUUGAAGAGCCCAACCCUCCUUCCAUUUAAAUCAUCAGCUUUAACACCUAGGCACAAAG
Long non-coding RNA from Chelonia mydas (Green sea turtle), 243 nucleotides. RefSeq lists it as uncharacterized. The transcript has 3 exons. The record is from RefSeq and is a predicted model, not a curated record. Lineage: Eukaryota; Metazoa; Chordata; Testudines; Cheloniidae.